RNAcentral lists this ribosomal RNA (229 nucleotides) under uncultured bacterium. RNAcentral describes it as "partial 16S ribosomal RNA". It matches the Rfam family "Bacterial small subunit ribosomal RNA", at positions 568 to 796 of the family's 1533-position model. The record is from RNAcentral.
UGCGCAGGCGGAAUGAUUAGUCAGUGGUGAAAGCCCUCGGCUCAACCGAGGAACUGCCAUUGAUACUGUCAUUCUUGAGUACAGUUGUAGUGGGCGGAAUGUGUCAUGUAGCGGUGAAAUGCAUAGAGAUGACACAGAACACCGAUCGCGAAGGCAGCUCACUAAGCUGAAACUGACGCUCAGGCACGAAGGCGUGGGUAGCAAACAGGAUUAGAUACCCUGGUAGUCC